This 1004-nucleotide long non-coding RNA is filed under the name Anas platyrhynchos platyrhynchos (common mallard). RNAcentral's name for it is "lncRNA (ENSAPLG00000026999.1)". Lineage: Eukaryota; Metazoa; Chordata; Aves; Anseriformes; Anatidae. The record is from RNAcentral.
AUUUCAUUUAUUACCUUAAAUAAACCAAACUAUUUUAGUCUUCUACUGCAGGAUAGCCUUUCUGUUUGCCUAAUCAUCCUAAUGUCACCUUUAUGUUCAUUUUUGCAGAUAUUACACUUCCAGUUUAAACUGUCCAGAUGUAUACUGUUUAAAAUAUGCAUGCUUCUCUUAUUCAUCUGAGCACUCCAGCUGUGAAAAUCCAGGCACAUGUUAUCAGGAUGAUCCAGGCAGUCUUUGAUGGAGUAGGACAAGAAGUCAGUCUGCUUCCACAGGUCAAACAAAAUGGAGAAACAUCAUAUUCACACUCUGGGCAGAAAAAUCUUUGUGAGGUGAAGGUGCUCUGAUCUUUGGCAUAGUCUAAUAUAACUUGCUUUGAUCCCCAAUAGCCACAGUCAAUUUUCCAGCACGGUGAUACACCAUGGAAGAGUCUGUACAGGUAGGAGGAGUUAGAAGUGGGUUUGGGGAGUGUAAAUUGUAAAUGAAAUUGGCCAAAUCAUAUUCAAGUUUGGAGGAGUGAAUUUGUGGGGAGACCAAGGACUGCCACAAGUCAUGCUCUUGUAAAGAGGAGAUGAAAGAAGCGGAGAGGUGAUAUAAGACCUGAGCAGAUUCAGACUCAUCUGAGCACCACAGAAGGUCUGCACGAGGAGAAAAGUCCAUCAGGACUGUUGUUUCUUUUGCUUUUCUCCUUGCUUCCUCAAGAAAUCUUCAUUUCAUCUGUGUUUGACAGGGUGGACCUGGCAGGCAGUAUGGCAAUUCUGUUUCUGCUACUGCAGGUCACAAAGACAAAGAUUGAAUCAGGAGGAAUGGAAAGAAAAUGGGUAAUCUUCUCCCUGCUAUGCAUCCUGAGGAGCUCUUCGUCCAUCAAGAGACAAAUCUCACACUUUGGGAGUCCUUAUGGAUGGUGAUGUCCAUAUACAUAGUUAAACAAACCCUUCCCCCUUUCCAAAACUAGCAGUAGAAGUUAAAAAGGAAUUGAGAGAAAAAUAAAUGUGUCCAGACUCCCA